AAUCAACGCUGGCGGCGUGCCUAACACAUGCAAGUCGAGCGAGAAAGUGGGGGCAACUCCAUGAGUACAGCGGCGACCGGGUGAGUAACACGUGACUAACCUACCCUUGAGUGGGGAAUAACUCCGGGAAACCGGAGCUAAUACCGCAUAACACCGCAAGGUCAAAGAAGCAAUUCGCUUAAGGAGGGGGUCGCGGUUGAUUAGCUAGUUGGUGGGGUAAUGGCCCACCAAGGCGAUGAU
RNAcentral lists this ribosomal RNA (240 nucleotides) under uncultured Acidobacterium sp. Its description in RNAcentral is "partial 16S ribosomal RNA". It matches the Rfam family "Bacterial small subunit ribosomal RNA", at positions 32 to 280 of the family's 1533-position model. The record is from RNAcentral. Lineage: Bacteria; Pseudomonadati; Acidobacteriota; Terriglobia; Terriglobales; Acidobacteriaceae.